GAUGAACGCUAGCGGGAGGCCUAACACAUGCAAGCCGAGCGGUAUUUGUUCUUCGGAACAGAGAGAGCGGCGCACGGGUGCGGAACACGUGUGCAACCUGCCUUUAUCUGGGGGAUAGCCUUUCGAAAGGAAGAUUAAUACCCCAUAAUAUAUUGAGUGGCAUCAUUUGAUAUUGAAAACUCCGGUGGAUAGAGAUGGGCACGCGCAAGAUUAGAUAGUUGGUGAGGUAACGGCUCACCAAGUCAAUGAUCUUUAGGGGGCCUGAGAGGGUGAUCCCCCACACUGGUACUGGGACACGGACCAGACUCCUACGGGAGGCAGCAGUGAGGAAUAUUGGACAAUGGGUUAGCGCCUGAUCCAGCCAUCCCGCGUGAAGGACGACGGCCCUAUGGGUUGUAAACUUCUUUUGUAUAGGGAUAAACCUACUCUCGUGAGAGUAGCUGAAGGUACUAGACGAAUAAGCACCGGCUAACUCCGUG
This 479-nucleotide ribosomal RNA is filed under the name uncultured bacterium. Its description in RNAcentral is "partial 16S ribosomal RNA". It matches the Rfam family "Bacterial small subunit ribosomal RNA", at positions 28 to 507 of the family's 1533-position model. The record is from RNAcentral.